RNAcentral lists this ribosomal RNA (307 nucleotides) under uncultured eukaryote. Its description in RNAcentral is "partial 18S ribosomal RNA". It matches the Rfam family "Eukaryotic small subunit ribosomal RNA", at positions 1470 to 1796 of the family's 1831-position model. The record is from RNAcentral.
CCCUUAGACGUUCUGGGCCGCACGCGCGCUACACUGACGAAGGCAACGAGCUACUCUUCACCGAAAGGUGUGGGUAAUCUUUUGAAACUUCGUCGUGCUGGGGAUAGAUCCUUGCAAUUUUUGAUCUUAAACGAGGAAUUCCUAGUAAGCGCAAGUCAUCAACUUGCGUUGAUUACGUCCCUGCCCUUUGUACACACCGCCCGUCGCUACUACCAAUUGAAUGGUUUAGUGAGGCCUUCGGAUCCGCGAUUUUAUUGUGGAGAAGUUGGACAAACUCAGUCAUUUAGAGGAAGUAAAAGUCGUAACA